UAGGGAAUAUUCCGCAAUGGGCGAAAGCCUGACGGAGCAACGCCGCGUGAGUGAAGAAGGUUUUCGGAUCGUAAAGCUCUGUCAACAGGGACGAAACAAGACGGUACCUGAGAAGGAAGCCACGGCAAACUACGUGCCAGCAGCCGCGGUAAUACGUAGGUGGCAAGCGUUGUCCGGAAUAACUGGGCGUAAAGCGCAUGUAGACGGCAUGAUAAGCCAAAUGUGAAAUGUAGGGGCUCAACCCCUGCACUGCGAUUGGAACUGUCAAGCUUGAGUGCAGGAGAGGCAAAUGGAAUUCCCAGUGUAGCAGUGAAAUGCGUAGAGAUUGGGAGGAACACCAGUGGCGAAGGCGAUUUGCUGGACUGCAACUGACGGUGAGAUGCGAAAGCCAGGGGGGCAAACG
Molecule: ribosomal RNA, 403 nt
Filed under: uncultured prokaryote
Description: bacterial SSU rRNA
Rfam family: Bacterial small subunit ribosomal RNA
Source: RNAcentral